GCCUGGGUGGCUCAGUCGUUAAGCAUCUGACUUCGGCUCAGGUCAUUAUCUCAUGGUUUGUGAGUUCAAGCCCCGCAUCAGGCU
RNAcentral lists this transfer RNA (84 nucleotides) under Felis catus (domestic cat). It matches the Rfam family "tRNA". Rfam says of the family: Transfer RNA (tRNA) molecules are approximately 80 nucleotides in length. Their secondary structure includes four short double-helical elements and three loops (D, anti-codon, and T loops). Further hydrogen bonds mediate the characteristic L-shaped molecular structure. tRNAs have two regions of fundamental functional importance: the anti-codon, which is responsible for specific mRNA codon recognition, and the 3' end, to which the tRNAs corresponding amino acid is attached (by aminoacyl-tRNA synthetases). tRNAs cope with the degeneracy of the genetic code in two manners: having more than one tRNA (with a specific anti-codon) for a particular amino acid; and 'wobble' base-pairing, i.e. permitting non-standard base-pairing at the 3rd anti-codon position. The record is from Rfam by way of RNAcentral. Lineage: Eukaryota; Metazoa; Chordata; Mammalia; Carnivora; Felidae.